This 281-nucleotide ribosomal RNA is filed under the name uncultured bacterium. RNAcentral's name for it is "partial 16S ribosomal RNA". It matches the Rfam family "Bacterial small subunit ribosomal RNA", at positions 634 to 913 of the family's 1533-position model. The record is from RNAcentral.
UGAAAGGCUUGAGUACAGAAGAGGAAAGCGGAAUUCCACGUGUAGCGGUGAAAUGCGUAGAGAUGUGGAGGAACACCAGUGGCGAAGGCGGCUUUCUGGUCUGUAACUGACGCUGAGGCGCGAAAGCGUGGGGAGCAAACAGGAUUAGAUACCCUGGUAGUCCACGCCGUAAACGAUGAGUGCUAAGUGUUAGGGGGUUUCCGCCCCUUAGUGCUGCAGCUAACGCAUUAAGCACUCCGCCUGGGGAGUACGGUCGCAAGNCUGAAACUCAAAGGAAUUGA